CUAGUCCUUGUCAUGGGUGAGCGCGAUCACUCAAUGAGCGUAUAGCGAGAGUGGUUCUGCUAACACAUAUGAACACAAAACGCAUCGCUCUCUCAUCUCGGUGAGGGGGUUUGGGUGCAAUUUUUGGAAAA
Molecule: small nuclear RNA, 131 nt
Organism: Asterias rubens (European starfish)
Lineage: Eukaryota; Metazoa; Echinodermata; Asteroidea; Forcipulatida; Asteriidae
Product: U4atac minor spliceosomal RNA
Exons: 1
Source: RefSeq, a predicted model, not a curated record